GCCGACGUAGCUCAGUUGGUAGAGCAACUGAUUCGUAAUCAGUAGGUCCGCAGUUCGACUCUGCGCGUCGGCA
RNAcentral lists this transfer RNA (73 nucleotides) under Aquicella sp. RNAcentral's name for it is "tRNA-Thr". It matches the Rfam family "tRNA". From Rfam's summary of the family: Transfer RNA (tRNA) molecules are approximately 80 nucleotides in length. Their secondary structure includes four short double-helical elements and three loops (D, anti-codon, and T loops). Further hydrogen bonds mediate the characteristic L-shaped molecular structure. tRNAs have two regions of fundamental functional importance: the anti-codon, which is responsible for specific mRNA codon recognition, and the 3' end, to which the tRNAs corresponding amino acid is attached (by aminoacyl-tRNA synthetases). tRNAs cope with the degeneracy of the genetic code in two manners: having more than one tRNA (with a specific anti-codon) for a particular amino acid; and 'wobble' base-pairing, i.e. permitting non-standard base-pairing at the 3rd anti-codon position. RNAcentral also lists the same sequence under 2 other names. The record is from RNAcentral. Lineage: Bacteria; Pseudomonadati; Pseudomonadota; Gammaproteobacteria; Legionellales; Coxiellaceae.